This 391-nucleotide unclassified non-coding RNA is filed under the name soil metagenome. Its description in RNAcentral is "partial contains 5.8S ribosomal RNA, internal transcribed spacer 2, and large subunit ribosomal RNA". The stretch from base 1 to 122 matches the Rfam family "5.8S ribosomal RNA", at positions 35 to 154 of the family's 154-position model. The record is from RNAcentral.
GAUGAAGAACGUAGCGAAAUGCGAUACUUGGUGUGAAUUGCAGAAUCCCGUGAACCAUCGAGUCUUUGAACGCAAGUUGCGCCCGAAGCCAUUAGGCCGAGGGCACGCCUGCCUGGGCGUCACACGUCGUUGCCCCCCCAUCUACUCCUUCGGGAUUGCGGGGGGCGGAUGAUGGCCUCCCGUGCGCCUCGCCGCGCGGUUGGCAUAAAUGCCAAGUCCUCGGCGACGCACGCCACGACAAUCGGUGGUUGCGAAACCUCGGUUGCCCGUCGUGUGCGGUCGUCGCGCAUCGAGGGCUCGAAAAAAUUGCCGGGUUCCGGCUCGGCUUUCAACGCGACCCCAUGUCAGGCGGGGUUACCCGCUGAAUUUAAGCAUAUCAAUAAGCGGAGGA